This 446-nucleotide ribosomal RNA is filed under the name uncultured bacterium. RNAcentral describes it as "partial 16S ribosomal RNA". It matches the Rfam family "Bacterial small subunit ribosomal RNA", at positions 338 to 795 of the family's 1533-position model. The record is from RNAcentral.
CCUACGGGCGGCAGCAGUCGAGAAUCAUUCACAAUGGGGGAAACCCUGAUGGUGCGACGCCGCGUGGGGGAAUGAAGGUCUUCGGAUUGUAAACCCCUGUCAUGUGGGAGCAAAUUAAAAAUAUAGUACCACAAGAGGAAGAGACGGCUAACUCUGUGCCAGCAGCCGCGGUAAUACAGAGGUCUCAAGCGUUGUUCGGAACCACUGGGCGUAAGGCGUGCGUAGGCUGGUACGUAAGUCGGGUGUGAAAGGCGGUGGCUCAACCCGCGGACGGCACAUGAUACUGCGUGACUAGAGUAAUGGAGGGGGAGCCGGAAUUCUCGGUGUAGCAGUGAAAUGCGUAGAUAUCGAGAGGAACACUCGUGGCGAAGGCGGGUUCCUGGACAUUAACUGACGCUGAGGCACGAAGGCCAGGGGAGCGAAAGGGAUUAGAUACCCCUGUAGUC